CAGCCGCCACGGGAAUACGAAGGGUGCAAGCGUUACUCGGAAUUACUGGGCGUAAAGCGUGCGUAGGUGGUGGUUUAAGUCCGUUGUGAAAGCCCUGGGCUCAACCUGGGAAUUGCAGUGGAUACUGGGUCACUAGAGUGUGGUAGAGGAUAGUGGAAUUUCCGGUGUAGCAGUGAAAUGCGUAGAGAUCGGAAGGAACAUCUGUGGCGAAGGCGGCCAUCUGGGACAACACUGACGCUGAGGCACGAAAGCGUGGGGAGCAAACAGGAUUAGAUACCCCCGUAGUCCCUGUCUCUUAUAC
This 301-nucleotide ribosomal RNA is filed under the name uncultured bacterium. RNAcentral describes it as "partial 16S ribosomal RNA". It matches the Rfam family "Bacterial small subunit ribosomal RNA", at positions 509 to 807 of the family's 1533-position model. The record is from RNAcentral.